Molecule: ribosomal RNA, 405 nt
Filed under: uncultured soil bacterium
Lineage: Bacteria
Description: bacterial SSU rRNA
Rfam family: Bacterial small subunit ribosomal RNA
Source: RNAcentral
ACGAUCCUUCGGGAUAGUAGCGGACGGGUGAGUAACACGUGGGAACGUGCCUUUAGGUUCGGAACAACACAGGGAAACUUGUGCUAAUACCGGAUAAGCCCUUCGGGGGAAAGAUUUAUCGCCUUUAGAGCGGCCCGCGUCUGAUUAGCUUGUUGGUGAGGUAAAGGCUCACCAAGGCUACAAUCAGUAGCUGGUCUGAGAGGAUGGCCAGCCACAUUGGGACUGAGACACGGCCCAAACUCCUACGGGAGGCAGCAGUGGGGAAUCUUGCGCAAUGGGCGAAAGCCUGACGCAGCCAUGCCGCGUGGAUGAUGAAGGUCUUAGGAUUGUAAAAUCCUUUCAGCGGGGACGAUAAUGACGGUACCCGCAGAAGAAGCCCCGGCUAACUUCGUGCCAGCAGCCGCG